Molecule: ribosomal RNA, 497 nt
Filed under: uncultured bacterium
Lineage: Bacteria
Description: partial 16S ribosomal RNA
Rfam family: Bacterial small subunit ribosomal RNA
Source: RNAcentral
GAUGAACGCUGGCGGCGUGCCUAAUACAUGCAAGUCGAGCGAACGGACGAGAAGCUUGCUUUUCUGAUGUUAGCGGCGGACGGGUGAGUAACACGUGGAUAACCUACCUAUAAGACUGGGAUCACUUCGGGAAACCGGCGCUAAUACCGGAUAAUCUCUUGAACCGCAUGGUUCAAAAGUGAAAGACGGUCUUGCUGUCACUUCUCGAUGGAUCCGCGCUGCAUUAGCUAGUUGGUAAGGUAACGGCUUACCAAGGCAACGAUGCAUAGCCGACCUGAGAGGGGGGUCGGCCACACGGGAGCGGAGACGCGGUCCAGACUACUACGGGAGGCAGCAGUAGGGAAUCUGACGCAGUGGGCGAGAGCCUGGCGGAGCAGCGCCGCGUGAGUGAUGGAGGUCUUCGGAUCGUAAAACUCUGUUAUUAGGGAAGAACAUAUGUGUAAGUAGCUGUGCACAUCUUGACGGUACCGAAUCAGAAAGCCACGGCUAACUACGUG